GUCUCGUUCAGUCUCAAGUCCAGCCCUCUCAAGUCUCAGGUUGCCGGUUCAACAGGGCACCCGGACAAGCGUGCCCUGUGGGGAUUGCUGGGUAGGGCCAGCCACCGCCGCCCCGGCUGCCAGCUUUGCCAGGCAGACCUACUGCCUGGCGUCCCGUGUCUUUUUUAUACUUGGGAGUUUCCGCAUUCUGUGGGCAACAAAGAUCAGUCUGGAAAUGCAGCUCCGACUCACCUGUUUGUGGAUUCAACGAGAGCUCCAAUCCUGGGUUGUUCUCACAGCACCAUCUUGAGUCCUCCCUCCGCAAAAUCACAUUUUUAAUAGACACUUAAAGUUUGAGUGACGAUGCCAAUUCAUACUCCCACCAGCAGGGGAAGUAGCUUUUCCCCCUACUUCCUGCCAACAUUUCAUACUAAUAAGGUGUGAAAUCUCUUGAUUCCAGUACCGGAGACGUGAGGAAAUAAGAUAUAAAAUCUGCAAUCCCCAAAGUGAGACUGGAGACAAUCUAUAUUUGUGGAGUAGAUGAGAUGAGCACCCAAGAUGUCUUUUCCUAUUUUAAAGAAUAUCCUCCAGCUCACAUCGAAUGGUUGGAUGAUACCUCCUACAAGCAGGAAGACAGUUCAGAGGAUGAUGAAGCUGAAGAAGGAGAGGUUGAAGACGAGAACACAAGUGACGUAGAGGUUAGUAAUAGGGCGAAGGUAGAUGUCAGGCUCUCUUGUAAAAAAGGCUUACUGUCUUUUUAAUUUAAGUCUUAAAGACUUAGUUGUGUUUUUCCUCUGGCUUUCACCGUGAGACCUUCUGAGGAUGCACAAGGCUCUUGUCCUUUAAGGUCAUGUGGAUGUAAC
RNAcentral lists this long non-coding RNA (842 nucleotides) under Callithrix jacchus (white-tufted-ear marmoset). RNAcentral's name for it is "lncRNA (ENSCJAG00000075903.1)". The record is from RNAcentral. Lineage: Eukaryota; Metazoa; Chordata; Mammalia; Primates; Cebidae.